CAGCUUCCUUGCUGUCGAGUGUUCUGGAUUCUAUUACAGCUGGUACUGGUGAUUCUAGUUCGGACGAGGCACUUCUUUUGAUAAAAAAAGGGUUGAUGUUGCCAAGGAUAUGUUCGGUGGCCUUCAAUCACUUUAUCUACAAAGGAAGUAUUUCAGGGAAAAUUUUCAGCUUGUGGAAUCCACACCUGUCACUCUGGGAUCUCACCUUGAGUGGAAAAUGAGGAGGGUUCGGAAAAAGGCUGUACGAAUGUACGAUAGAUUUACUACAUACCACUUUUAAAGUCCCUCAAGGCUUUACAAAGAAAAAACGACAUUCAGGAGGAGGUCGAUACAGACUAUCGCAUGCAUGGUGUCCUUUGCGACGUUAUGGACGGAGCAUAUGCCAAGGGAGCAUCGCAGACGAAUGAGUUACGGCUUGCAUUCUACCAUGAUGAGUUAGAGGUAGCCAAUCCGCUUGGCUCACG
This is a long non-coding RNA of Halichondria panicea, 464 nucleotides long. RefSeq lists it as uncharacterized. The transcript has 3 exons. Lineage: Eukaryota; Metazoa; Porifera; Demospongiae; Suberitida; Halichondriidae. The record is from RefSeq and is a predicted model, not a curated record.